AGAGUUUGAUCCUGGCUCAGGAUGAACGCUAGCUAUAGGCUUAACACAUGCAAGUCGAGGGGCAGCAUGGUCUUAGCUUGCUAAGGCCGAUGGCGACCGGCGCACGGGUGAGUAACGCGUAUCCAACCUGCCUUACACUCUUGGACAGCCUUCUGAAAGGGAGAUUAAUACAAGAUGUUAUCAUGAGUAAGCAUUUUCGCAUGAUUAAAGGUUUACCGGUGUAAGAUGGGGAUGCGUUCCAUUAGAUAGUAGGCGGGGUAACGGCCCACCUAGUCUUCGAUGGAUAGGGGUUCUGAGAGGAAGGUCCCCCACAUUGGAACUGAGACACGGUCCAAACUCCUACGGGAGGCAGCAGUGAGGAAUAUUGGUCAAUGGACGAGAGUCUGAACCAGCCAAGUAGCGUGAAGGAUGAAGGUUCUAUGGAUUGUAAACUUCUUUUAUACGGGAAUAAACGGAUCCACGUGUGGAUUUUUGCAUGUACCGUAUGAAUAAGGAUCGGCUAACUCCGUGCCAGCAGCCGCGGUAAUACGGAGGAUCCGAGCGUUAUCCGGAUUUAUUGGGUUUAAAGGGAGCGUAGAUGGGUUGUUAAGUCAGUUGUGAAAGUUUGCGGCUCAACCGUAAAAUUGCAAUUGAUACUGGCAGUCUUGAGUACAGUUGAGGUAGGCGGAAUUCGUGGUGUAGCGGUGAAAUGCUUAGAUAUCACGAAGAACUCCGAUUGCGAAGGCAGCUUACUAACCUGUAACUGACAUUGAUGCUCGAAAGUGUGGGUAUCAAACAGGAUUAGAUACCCUGGUAGUCCACACGGUAAACGAUGAAUACUCGCUGUAGGCGAUAUACAGUCUGCGGCCAAGCGAAAGCAUUAAGUAUUCCACCUGGGGAGUACGCCGGCAACGGUGAAACUCAAAGGAAUUGACGGGGGCCCGCACAAGCGGAGGAACAUGUGGUUUAAUUCGAUGAUACGCGAGGAACCUUACCCGGGCUUAAAUUGCAACCGAAUAUGGCGGAAACGCUAUAGCUAGCAAUAGCGGUUGUGAAGGUGCUGCAUGGUUGUCGUCAGCUCGUGCCGUGAGGUGUCGGCUUAAGUGCCAUAACGAGCGCAACCCUUGCCGAUAGUUACUAACAGGUUAUGCUGAGGACUCUGACAAGACUGCCAUCGUAAGAUGUGAGGAAGGUGGGGAUGACGUCAAAUCAGCACGGCCCUUACGUCCGGGGCUACACACGUGUUACAAUGGGGGGUACAGAGGGCCGCUACCACGCGAGUGGAUGCCAAUCCCCAAAACCUCUCUCAGUUCGGACUGGAGUCUGCAACCCGACUCCACGAAGCUGGAUUCGCUAGUAAUCGCGCAUCAGCCACGGCGCGGUGAAUACGUUCCCGGGCCUUGUACACACCGCCCGUCA
RNAcentral lists this ribosomal RNA (1398 nucleotides) under uncultured bacterium. RNAcentral's name for it is "16S ribosomal RNA". It matches the Rfam family "Bacterial small subunit ribosomal RNA". The record is from RNAcentral.